Molecule: long non-coding RNA, 2744 nt
Organism: Oncorhynchus kisutch (coho salmon)
Lineage: Eukaryota; Metazoa; Chordata; Actinopteri; Salmoniformes; Salmonidae
Exons: 3
Source: RefSeq, a predicted model, not a curated record
UCGCCAGGUGCACAGUGUUUCCCCCGACACAUUGGUGUGGUUGGCUCGUGGGUUAAGUGGGCAUUGGAUCAAGAAGAAGUGCGGCUUGGCUGGGUUGUGUCUUGGCCUUGGCCUCUCCCGACUCUGUAUGGGAGUUGCAGCAAUGAGACAACACUGUAACUACCCAUUGGAUACCACGCAAUUGGGGAGGAAAAAAAGGGGUAACAUUUUAAGUUGUCGAACCAGAUCAGAAAAACCUUCGUGGACCACCUUCAGGCACCGACUGAGAAGGAUGUGGAGGUAAAAAUGAUUGUCCGCUAUUAAUUUAUUUUCUGGCUCUCCAAGAGAUAUGUAAGAAAUGUAUUUGUAAUGUGAAAUAUAAUUGCAUUAAUUGCUGUUAUCAAUUAAGGUGAGACUGAACAUUGUCAAGGCGAAAGAAAAACAGAAGGAGAGCUACUGGAGCAGAGUCAAGAAGGGGACCAAGUGCUACUACAUCCAGGCAAUUUACUUGGUUUGGAAGAAGGACGAAAGGAAGCCGAGACCUGGGAAACCUCGCUGCUCUUUCACUCCUAGCUGGGGUCACCAUCUGUUAACUUGCGGAACACCUCGACAACAUCCGCUGAAAAGGCAGAGCGUGAAAUUCAACUUUCAUACAAGUGCAAUACACCAAAUUAAAGCUUACCUUCUUGUUAAUCUACCCGUUGUAUCCGAUUUCAAAAAGGCUUUACAGCGAAAGCACACCAUAUGAUUAUGUUAGGUCAGAGCCUAGUCACAAAAAAACAUACAGCCAUUUUCCAGCCAAAGAGAGGAGUCACAAGCAGAAAUAGAGAUAAAAUGAAUCACUAACCUUUGAUGAUCUUCAUCAGAUGACACUCAUAGGAUUUCAUGUUACACAAUACAUGUAUGUUUUGUUCAAUAAAGUUCAUAUUUAAAUCCAAAAAUCUCAGUUUACAUUGGCGCGUUGUGUUCAGUAAUGUUACGCCUCAAAUAUCCAACGAAUUUGCAGAGCCACAUCAAUUUGCAGAAAUACUCAUCAACUUUGAUAAAAGAUAAGUGUUAUGCACAGAAUUAAAGAUAUACUUCUCCUUAAUGCAACCUGCUGUGUCAGAUUUCAAAAAAGCUUUACGGAAAAGCACACCAUGCAAUAAUCUGAGUACAGCACUCAGACACAAAAACAACCCAUACAGAUACCUGCCAUGUUGUGGAGUCAGUAAAAAUCAGAAAUGGCGUUAUAAAUAUUCACUUACCUUUGAUCUUCAUCAGAAUGCACUCCCAGGAAUCCCAGUUCCUCAAAGUCCAUUUCUAUCCAAAUACCUCCUUUUAUUAGCGAGUUUUGUUCACAAAUCCAAACUCACGAGGCGCGGGCAAGUCCAGGCGACAGUUCAGACAGAGUCCAAAAAGUUAUAUUACAGUUCGUAGAAACGUCAAACGAUGUAUAGAAUCCAUCUUUGGGAUGUUUUUAUCAUAAAUCUUCAAUAAUGUAUCAACCAGACAAUUCCUUUGUCUUUAGAAAUGCAAUGGAACGCAGGUCGCUCUCACGGCCAAGCACCUGAUUGAAACAGCACUUAUGCGCUCCUCCUUCACAGUAGAAGCCUGAAACAAGACUGUUGACAUCUAGUGGAAGCCUUAGGAAGUGCAAUAUGACCCCAUAGACACUGUAUAUUGGAUAGGCAAUGAGUUGAAAAACUACAAACCUCAGAUUUCCCACUUUCUGGUUGGAUUUUCUCAGGUUUACGCCUGCCAUAUGAGUUCUGUUAUAGUCACCGGUCUUCUAGCCAUCGCCAAUCCAUUUUUCAUUUUCCAUUUGUUUUGUCUCAUUUUCCCACACACCUGGUUCUCAUUUCCCUCAUUAUGUGUUGUGUAUUUAACCCUAUGUUUCCCCCAUGUAUUUGUGUGGCAUUGUUUAUUCUGUUCCAUGUAUCUGCGUGUUAGACUGUUGCGCUGGGUUAUGUCAACCCGUAUUGUAUUUCGUUUUAGUUGUGCCGUGUGCUUUUGGUUCGCCUAAAUAAAAGUCUCUGUUUGCUACCCAAUAUCUGCUCUCCUGCGCCUGAAUCCCUGACAGCCAUUUACGCAUACCUGACACUGAAGCUAGUUUUAGUUUCCCUAACACUGAUAUUUUGAUCUGUCUUCCUAGGGUUACCUCGGUGGAAGCCAACAAUCUUCUACAGUUGGACAGUCAACCACUGAAAGCCCUGACGUCCUACACUUCAGUGAAACCCAAUAGACAACGACCAUCGACUGUCUGAGCCCCCCAGGAGGUAUCCCAUCCACCAGAACCUGUGAGUUCAGAUCAGUCUGAUUGUCACUGCUCUGAGUUGGAGGGGGACCAGCUUGUGGUAGGCUAUACCUUCUAAAGGUGUUGAAAGGACCUAGAGGUUCUGCCUAACACCCAGACAUGGAUCCACCUGAUGUCCUCCAUUACCAACCACCCUCCAACGUUUCAUUACAUCAUCUACUGUUAUUGUAAUGUUGUCAUUAUCUGCUAAGAAAGUUUUCUUCUAUCAUACAGGGCAAUAUUUGAGAUACACAGAUGAACUAAAAACACUAGCACUGCAAACACAGCAGUGCCUGGACUUUGCAGUCUUCCUCUUCAAGUCCCCCUUUCCGAGACUGGCUGCCUGUUGAGAACAAGUGACAGGCAGACCCUCCCACCCAGACAGUAACCACCUCCUUUAUAUUCCACACCCCAGAAUUCAGUAUUUCAGUCGAUGAUUGCCAUGAGUGAACAAAAAAAUCUGUGAAAAUAAAUUAUUGACACAACUGUA